RNAcentral lists this ribosomal RNA (425 nucleotides) under uncultured bacterium. RNAcentral's name for it is "bacterial SSU rRNA". It matches the Rfam family "Bacterial small subunit ribosomal RNA", at positions 356 to 773 of the family's 1533-position model. The record is from RNAcentral.
GGGGAAUAUUGGACAAUGGGCGCAAGCCUGAUCCAGCCAUGCCGCGUGGGUGAAGAAGGCCUUCGGGUUGUAAAGCCCUUUUGUCCGGAAAGAAAAGCAUCGGGUUAAUACCUCGAUGUUCUGACGGUACCGGAAGAAUAAGCACCGGCUAACUUCGUGCCAGCAGCCGCGGUAAUACGAAGGGUGCAAGCGUUACUCGGAAUUACUGGGCGUAAAGCGUGCGUAGGUGGUUCGUUAAGUCUGAUGUGAAAGCCCUGGGCUCAACCUGGGAAUUGCAUUGGAUACUGGCGGGCUAGAGUGCGGUAGAGGAUGGCGGAAUUCCCGGUGUAGCAGUGAAAUGCGUAGAGAUCGGGAGGAACAUCUGUGGCGAAGGCGGCCAUCUGGACCAGCACUGACACUGAGGCACGAAAGCGUGGGGAGCAAAC